Molecule: long non-coding RNA, 1100 nt
Organism: Photinus pyralis (common eastern firefly)
Lineage: Eukaryota; Metazoa; Arthropoda; Insecta; Coleoptera; Lampyridae
Exons: 3
Source: RefSeq, a predicted model, not a curated record
UUUUAUUAUUAUAUCAACAUUUUGUUCGUAUUUCCAUUUCAAUCACCCUGUUUAUAACUUUUCUAUUCUGUGGUAGUCACCUUUUGUAACCUUCACAUUCGUUUAUUUCCGUACCUGCCCGUUUUAAUGUUGUAUAUUUCUAUUAUUGGUCUAAAAGCCAAUUUCCGCUUUAGAUAACCUAUGUAAUUUGAUACCGUAACCAUAUAUGGUAUUGUAAGCUUCGAUUGACCGCGUUAUUGGUCGGAGCAAAACAUCGUUGUUUCAUUGGGGCCGGAAAUGGAAAAAUUCAGCGUGUUUUACUUGCUAACCCGAGGAGAACGGUCGUGCGGUUCAUCCUGAUUUAAGUGCUAAUUUAGUUCCUGUUCAUUUGUUUUCAACAAUUUGGCGAAAGCAUCUUUAAAAAAACAAGUGAACCAGCAUUGUACCUGCCAUUUCUUUUUGGGCAUGGUAACCAUUUAAUCCGAAAGGAGUUCUUCUAAAGGAACGUAAGCAUAAUUGGGACCAUUCUGACAACGAUCGUAGGAUAACUUCCAUUCACUUUCGUACGUUCACGAAGCUCUUUUAUUUUCCGUUGACUCUCUCCAUGUAGAGAGUUCACGUAUUGGGGUCAAGAACUACGAUCCGACUGUUUACCUGUGAAACGAAACUAUAGACCACAUUGUGUUGCGGGUAAGGGGGCAUAGGAAAGUAAAUCGCCUAAGUACUGGAGUGCAGUGAGUCCGAUCUAGCAUCAAACCAUUGAAAUAACUUAAUGGCCGAGUCGUACAUAUCUUGAAGCCGCUACCUUGCUUCCGAUACUUUGUGUAACACUUAGAGUAGCAUUUGUCAUUCAACGUGCAACCAUAUACCAGGACCUGUGGAAAAGAAGACCUAAACAUUGAUCGUACGGUGAUGUAGCAUUGUUAAACCUUUUUGUAAAUUUGUGUGUUUGCAUUUGACCCACCUCGGUGGUGAUCAAUUGAUAAUUGGCCUGCAUAGAGCCAGGAUUAUUACUGUUAAUUGGUAAGCUUGACAUUUUUGGGGUACAAUAUUUUAGCUAGUCAAAAGAUUACUCUCGUUAUGGAGUGAUAACAAUUUAUGUAAGGUACGAACGAGCUCGU